Molecule: long non-coding RNA, 663 nt
Organism: Cyprinus carpio (common carp)
Lineage: Eukaryota; Metazoa; Chordata; Actinopteri; Cypriniformes; Cyprinidae
Source: Ensembl
AAUAAAUAUGAAUAUUCAUAUGUUUGUUUGGUAAUGAUCUGUUUUACAUGUUUUACAGAUUGUCUGGCCACAUGAAGUCAAGAUGAACCAGGAUUUACAAUCCUUUUUAUUUCCACACUGUGACAUGUUUCUGAGUGAAACACAAUAUUCAACAAGAACACAGUUUGGGAUAUGUUGACACAGUCUUACCACAAGAAGGAAGUCAUUUGAAACAUCAUGAGGAUUGACAGUGCAUGGCAGACUAUUGCUGAACUGUCAGUUUCAGGACCAUCUUCCAUAAAUCGCACAGAUUCUGCCCUUGAUCCACACGUUUGUGCCAUAACUUGUUCUUCCACAUCAGCAGCUGGAGCAGGGUUUGGGUUUAUAUGAGAUAUUUUUCAGUGUUUGUACACUUGAAAUGUCAAAACGGUUUGAUUCUGUGCUAGAAUCAGAAUCAGGAUGAGUUUUAUUGCAUCAUCUGCACAAUAUAUUUGUCUUGCUUUCAGUGGACUGAGAACAACAAGACAUGACAAAUUCUAAAGUUGAAAACAAAAAUAUGAAUAGAAAUGCACAAUAUGACAUUAAGGCUGUAGAUUAGCAUGUGCAUUUUUGGCAAGAAGGACUAAUGUGCAAAAGUACAGGUAUUUAAAUAAAUAUGUUUUAGAUUAAGAUUGUGAAUCUGUG